Molecule: long non-coding RNA, 1128 nt
Organism: Clupea harengus (Atlantic herring)
Lineage: Eukaryota; Metazoa; Chordata; Actinopteri; Clupeiformes; Clupeidae
Source: Ensembl
AGCACAACGGAGGAAUUGCUAAUCGCUAAUGAGAUGCUAGCGUGGCUAAACCUCGCGAAACCUGUUGAAAUGUGAUUACUUUGACACUAUGACAAACUAGUGAGUCAACAACUUUCUUAACACAGUCAAACAUCAAGCAAGUGCAACACAAGACCAAGCAAGAUGGCAAAUAAGUGACUUACUAGUCCGGCAGAGAGUGGUAACCGGGCGGCUUCCAGAAACUUACAUAACCCAGUAAUAUGCCUACGGACCCUGGUAUGGCACAGAGGCCAUUCUCCAUAUUAAACGUCAUUGUAGCGCCCCAAUUUUUUUAAGCUGUUAUUUUAAGGUAACAUUGCUAAUCCUAACCCUGAAGUACAAUUGCUACAUACCGUUACUUUUAAAGUGAUCUAGAAGUGUGUUUUUAAAUCACCGUUGAUCGUAUUAAAGUGACAGAAGUGUGUUUUAAAUCACCGUUGAACGUAUUAAAGUGACGGAAAAGUGUGUUUUAAAUCACCGUUGAUCGUAUUAAAGUCAUCUAGAAAUGUGUGUUCCAGAGGCAACUUAUGAAAAUGUGUAUGUUGGGGAAAUGCAAUACCAACACUGAAAGCAUUAAUGACAACAUUAUUAAUGUAAAACCAUCUUUUUUUUCACACAAUAAACCAAACCUGCCUCAGUUAGUGAGUGAAUGGAGUUUAAUAAUGAACAUGUUGACACAGUAUUACAGAUCAUCUGCAUACAUACACCUGCUCUCCCAGAGCUGUGGCUCAAUCAAUCACCUGCACACAGAUGUACUUCUAGAGACCUGUUGUAGUUACCUGGACGCAGGUGGGGGUAGCAAUUCUAUAGAUUGAUCCGGCGGGGUACGCGAGGAAGAAGGCAAUAAACAGGCAGACGCCACUCUAGGUGACCCUGUGUGAAUGUCGACACACAGGCGGCACUCUCCGUUACCUGUGCAAAAGGUAAGCUACGUUUGAAUCACCUGAGAAAAGGUGUAAGCGCCUCCAUCUCUUCAACACCUCCAAGUUUAACUACCUUUUCACAGGUGAGGUAUGUGACUCAGUUAUACGUGCACAGGUAGUCAUCUACCUUGGUCUGAAUCACCUGUCGACAGGUAGUCAUCUACCUUGGUCUGAAUCACCUGUCGAC